This is an RNA transcript of Myxocyprinus asiaticus (Chinese sucker), 2924 nucleotides long. It is a transcript of the gene named 4-galactosyl-N-acetylglucosaminide 3-alpha-L-fucosyltransferase 9-like, with no coding region annotated. The record is from RefSeq and is a predicted model, not a curated record. NCBI's taxonomy places the organism in Eukaryota, Metazoa, Chordata, Actinopteri, Cypriniformes, Catostomidae. The transcript is spliced from 2 exons.
AAUCCAGGUUUUAAUAUUCUGCGGUGCAUGCUUGCAAAAGUCACUUCGAAUCUCUUUUGUGUCUUAAAGUGUUGGUCCUCUGGAAAGCAAUAAUUAGGUUGGACCACAUUUUGGUCCAUAACAAGAAAUAGCCUACAUAAUGCCUAGAAAGUGUGAUUUUAUAGCUUCUAAAUAUACACAUCUACUUUCUUAGAUAUUACCUAUUGGACUAAACAGACUGGACCACAACUUUCUGACACAAAACUAGAGGUUUUUCAUUUAUUUAAUUUUAAACAAAUCCUUGAAGCCAAAUAUCAAACAAUUCUAUAUCUUCUUCCUUCACCAGUAAAUGAUGAUGUCCAUAACUUCUGCCAAAAGCAAUCAGAGCAUAAUAAUUGCCGUCAUUUUGUUUGCAUGUUUUACGGCAAUUUUGUAUGUGAAUUACGAGCCAACCACAAGCUGGUUUAAAUGUCCUGCUGCUCCCAUCCACAUGAAUAAUGUCACUGCAGAAAUCUGCCUCAGUGUUUUUAAGAUGCAAAACUACACCCAUAUAGAAAACAACACCUGCACUGUGAACUUCAUCUUGGAAAGACAACAGAUGACAACUACUAAAACAACAAAACAAGUGGCAACAGCGAAGAGAGACGAUCCAGACACCAUUAUUUUGAUCUGGAUGUGGCCUUUUGGAUAUAGUUUUGGCUUUGGACCCUGCAGUUCGGCUUUUAAUAUUCAAGGCUGCCGUUUAACAGAUGACAAAGAUAUGUAUAACCAAGCACAUGGUGUAUGGUUUCAUCAUAGAGAUAUCAAGUGGGAUUUAUCUAAUAUGCCGAAACUACCUCGACCAGCAUUUCAGAAAUGGAUAUGGAUGAAUAUGGAGUCUCCAGCCAAUUCACCACAAAUUCCCCAGCUGAAGGAUCUGUUUAAUUUGACUUCAAGUUAUCGUCGGGAUUCUGAUGUCCAGGUACCUUACGGUUGGCUCUCAGAGGCCACAAUUGAGGAGAAAAAAUAUACAAUCCCACAAAAGGAUAAACUAGUCUGCUGGAUAGUAAGUAACUAUAAUUCACACCAUAAGCGUUCAUAUUACUAUACUGAGUUAUCGAAAUACAUUCACGUGGAGGCUUUUGGAGGACAUUUCAACAGGCGCAUUAAUGGUGAUGAAUAUUCAAAAGUGGUGUCUAGUUGCAAAUUUUACCUCUCAUUUGAGAGUUCCAUUCAUAGAGACUACAUUACAGAAAAACUGUACAACCCUCUAUUGCUUGGUACGGUUCCUGUUGUUCUUGGCCCGCCCAGAGAGAACUAUGAGCAGUUCAUACCGAGCAAAGCCUUCAUCCAUGUAGAUGACUUCCCCUCUCCCAAAGAACUGGCAGAUCAUCUCAAUUUUAUGGACCAAAAUGAGAACAUGUAUAGGCAGUAUUUUACCUGGAGAGAACAUUUCGUUUCAAGAGCAUCUGCAUUUGGUCUUGAACAUGCCUGUCGGGCUUGUGAACAUAUCAGAAAAAAUAAGAACUACAGAGUAGUUAAAGAUCUCAACAGCUGGUACUUCAGUUAGCGCAGGAAUACAAAAAAAACAAAAAAAAAAACUACACUGGGGGCUUGCAGCUCACAAAAACUCAUAAUUUGUAUAAGACUGUAAGAUAUUGUAUGACUUGGCUCGUACAAAAGGUACAACUUUAUUCCCAUACAAACUGACCAAUCAGCAAAGAGAAUUUCAAAUGGAUAUAAUACAGGCAUCACAUUUUAGCUAGGCUCCUAUCCAACAUUUUUUUUUUUUUUUAAGGUUUGGAUAGGGGGUUAGACUUGAUGGUUAGGUGUGGAUUUGAGGUUAAAUUUAUAACUUAUAAUAAAAAUCAUAACAUUGCCCUGAUAGCACACUUACAUCACCAAGAUGUGUAUUUUACAUCUGGAAGACAUAUUUUUUUUUAGGUUGUUUGCUAAUCUGCAAUACGUCAAUAAGAUUUUUCCUCUCGGAUAUCAAUAUGACAUUUACUAGAUGUCUUUGAAACAUUUAUGAUUUAGAAUAUUUGUAAAUAUGAUCAUUUUAAGAUGUUUAACAGAUGUUAAUUAGAAUGCAAUGCUUUUCAGAUGAAACAGACAUCUUGAAGGUGUGCGUAAGCUAUCUGGGAUCGUUUGUUGGUUCGUUAUUUUUCUCUAUGCGAGUAGAAGUCAUACAGUUUCUUAUGAAUUUGUCAUCUUGUACUAUCAUGACUUAUUGUCCCCAUUCCUGUACCAUACUCUGGGCCUCCCAACUUUUCUAAAUGAAGUGAUCUAUUUUUACUCUUGCAAUGUCCAUUUUGAUCAAUCAAUUUGUCCUCUCAUUUUUGUGCCCAACACUCCUCAUUUUCUGUCCAAUGAAUGCACAUCAAUCCCACCAUCAUUUACUCACCCUCAUGCCAUCCCAGAUGUGUAUGACUUCGUUCUUCUGCUGAACACAGAUGAAGAUUUUGAGAAGAAUAUCUCUGCUCUGUAGGUCCAUACAAUACAAUGGCCAGAACUCUGAAGAUCCAAAUAUUUUUGGGUGAACUAUCCCUUUAAUGCCAGAAUACCACAAAAAAAAAGUUAAAAGAGCUAUUUCCAUAUCAGUGUCAUUGACAGGUUUCUAAUUGAGGAGCUGACAUCUUCACAAAUAAAAUCAAAGGUAACAUUUGCAUUUUUACAGCAUGAAUAUUUAUUUUAAUUCAAUGUUGGCACUAAACUAAAAACUAAACUGCCAACAACAACAACUACAAGUUACAUCAAGAUAUUUCAGAAUAGUCUGCUAAAUUGCUAAAUCAAUAAUUUCUAGUACUAAUCUUAUAAAAGUUAUGUCUGUUCCUCAGUGUUAGAAUCAUUUAAUCUGGCUUGCAAAGUGUGUUGCUGUUUUUUCAUUCUUUUUUACAAACUGUGGGACAGGACAAAAUUAUUUUCUGUGUUAAUUGAAAGCGUGCCACAGAUAACCUAAACAUUUG